UACGUAGGGGGCUAGCGUUGUCCGGAAUCAUUGGGCGUAAAGAGCGUGUAGGCGGCCCGGUAAGUCCGCUGUGAAAGUCGGGGGCUCAACCCUCGGAUGCCGGUGGAUACUGUCGGGCUCGAGUACGGAAGAGGCGAGUGGAAUUCCUGGUGUAGCGGUGAAAUGCGCAGAUAUCAGGAAGAACACCCGUGGCUAAGGCGGCUCUCUAGUACGGUACUGACGCUGAGACGCGAAAGCGUGGGGAGCGAACAGG
This 253-nucleotide ribosomal RNA is filed under the name uncultured bacterium. Its description in RNAcentral is "partial 16S ribosomal RNA". It matches the Rfam family "Bacterial small subunit ribosomal RNA", at positions 524 to 776 of the family's 1533-position model. The record is from RNAcentral.